GUGGCGCAAAUUGCACAAGUUUUUAUUUGCUGAGCUUUAAGAGUCCGUUCAUUCAAAUUUAAAUCCAUUUUAGUAACAAUGACGACUCCAGUGCAACAAUCCCAUAUAAUCCGAUCAACGGAGCGAUGGUUAAAUUGGGUAGCGUCAGCCUCCCGGUCUCAUUUCUUGAUCAUUCCAGACUUAAGUAAACUCUGGAUACUCAAAGCAUGAACGAAAUCAAAUGGUCACUAACAAUACUUUUGAAAGGAAUUCCCUAGAGGAUUAUCAAAACUAUCAGAUAAGUAGUUAAUGAUAGUACUCCACAUUGAAAACGAUGAAAACGGCCGUCGACCAACUGAAGCUUCUCAAUUAUAUACAAAUAAGAUGCCCUCAACAGAGGAGGAAUAGAAGCAGAUUGCUUCUGAUAUUAGCGAAAAAUACCAGUUCAGGAAUUGCCUAGUAACUUUAGACGGCAAACAUGUUGCUAUUGAAAUCCAGACAAGAUGUAUGACAAGACUGAUGAAGUAUCCCCAAAGAGCCUGCAAUGCACAGGGAAGAACAAUAAAUCUAUAGUUAAACUGGAAA
This is a long non-coding RNA of Hermetia illucens (black soldier fly), 564 nucleotides long. RefSeq lists it as uncharacterized. Lineage: Eukaryota; Metazoa; Arthropoda; Insecta; Diptera; Stratiomyidae. The record is from RefSeq and is a predicted model, not a curated record. The transcript is spliced from 4 exons.